AGCCAAUGAUGUUUUUAUUCAAUGUCUG
RNAcentral lists this non-coding RNA (28 nucleotides) under Cricetulus griseus (Chinese hamster). Lineage: Eukaryota; Metazoa; Chordata; Mammalia; Rodentia; Cricetidae. The record is from RNAcentral.